RNAcentral lists this long non-coding RNA (428 nucleotides) under Mustela putorius furo (domestic ferret). RNAcentral describes it as "lncRNA (ENSMPUG00000025429.1)". Lineage: Eukaryota; Metazoa; Chordata; Mammalia; Carnivora; Mustelidae. The record is from RNAcentral.
CAGGUAUGUGUAGCCAUUCCUCUCCUGGAGGCCUGCCGGUUUGCCAAGAGCAUGUUUGCAACAGCACUAUUUAAAACAAAAACAAUAAAAUAAUGGAAAGGAAUCUAAAUGGUCAUCGGUUACACAGAUAAAUUGUGACCUAUUCACACAGUGAAAUAUCAUACAGUAACAAAGACACAUGCUGUCGCCCUCCACGCCAUGGAUGUGUCUUCCAAACACCAGGGGAAGAUCAAGAAGCAUCUGUGCGACAGAAUGACAGACUGUCAGAGAUUGAGCAAGAAAGCAGAGACCUCAGCAGGAUACCAAGGACUCCCUCUUGGGAGACCCAGUCUGCCAAACAAAUCAAACAAGCUCGUAAUUGGUCGCAAAGUUGGUGGGGAAGUAUAUUCAUCCUCUGUGUUCCAACCCACAUCUAUCCUCAGGCAAGG